Molecule: ribosomal RNA, 253 nt
Filed under: uncultured bacterium
Lineage: Bacteria
Description: partial 16S ribosomal RNA
Rfam family: Bacterial small subunit ribosomal RNA
Source: RNAcentral
UACAGAGGUCUCAAGCGUUGUUCGGAUUCAUUGGGCGUAAAGGGCGCGUAGGCGGCGGGGUCAGUCGGGUGUGAAAUCUUGGGGCUUAACCCCGAAACGGCACUCGAAACUGCCCGGCUGGAGGGCCGGAGAGGAGAUCGGAAUUCACGGUGUAGCAGUGAAAUGCGUAGAGAUCGUGAGGAACACCAGCGGCGAAGGCGGCGACCUGGGUGGAUACUGACGCUGAGGUGCGAAAGCGUGGGGAGCAAACAGG